RNAcentral lists this ribosomal RNA (363 nucleotides) under Anopheles maculipennis. RNAcentral's name for it is "partial 12S small subunit ribosomal RNA". Lineage: Eukaryota; Metazoa; Arthropoda; Insecta; Diptera; Culicidae. The record is from RNAcentral.
AUUAUUAAAAUUAAAUAAUUUAAAAUACUAAAGUAGUAUUAGUUAUAUUCUUAAAAUUUAAAGAAUUUGGCGGUGUUUUAGUCUAUUUAGAGGAAUCUGUUCUGUUAUUGAUAAUCCACGUUGGACCUAACUUAAAUUUGUUUUCAAUUUGUAUAUCGCCGUCAUCAGAAUAUAUUAUAAGAUUAAUAAUUUUCUAAAUAUUUUAUUAAAUAAAAUGUCAGGUCAAGGUGCAGUUUAUAUUUAAGUAGAAAUGGAUUACAAUAAAUUUAUUUAUACGGAUAAUUUUUUGAAAUAAAAAUUUGAAGGUGGAUUUAAUAGUAAUAUAAAAGAGAUUGUUUAUAUGAUUAUAGCUCUAAAACAUGC